Molecule: non-coding RNA, 117 nt
Organism: Danio rerio (zebrafish)
Lineage: Eukaryota; Metazoa; Chordata; Actinopteri; Cypriniformes; Danionidae
Source: Rfam
GGAUACAGCAAUAUCACCCUGCAGCCCAAGACCGGUUACUCACUGAAGCUAAGCAGGGCUGAGCCUGGUCAGUACCUGGAUGGGAGACCACUAGGUAACACUAGGUUGCUGUUGGAA